UGUCGUCAGCUCGUGUUGUGAAAUGUUGGGUUAAGUCCCGCAACGAGCGCAACCCUUAUCCUUUGUUGCCAGCGGUCCGGCCGGGAACUCAAAGGAGACUGCCAGUGAUAAACUGGAGGAAGGUGGGGAUGACGUCAAGUCAUCAUGGCCCUUACGACCAGGGCUACACACGUGCUACAAUGGCGCAUACAAAGAGAAGCGACCUCGCGAGAGCAAGCGGACCUCAUAAAGUGCGUCGUAGUCCGGAUUGGAGUCUGCAACUCGACUCCAUGAAGUCGGAAUCGCUAGUAAUCGUGGAUCAGAAUGCCACGGUGAAUACGUUCCCGGGCCUUGUACACACCGCCCGUCACACCAUGGGAGUGGGUUGCAAAAGAAGUAGGUA
Molecule: ribosomal RNA, 382 nt
Filed under: Escherichia coli
Lineage: Bacteria; Pseudomonadati; Pseudomonadota; Gammaproteobacteria; Enterobacterales; Enterobacteriaceae
Description: bacterial SSU rRNA
Rfam family: Bacterial small subunit ribosomal RNA
Source: RNAcentral